AUUGAACGCUGGCGGCAGGCCUAACACAUGCAAGUCGAACGGUAGCAGGAAGCAGCUUGCUGCUUUGCUGACGAGUGGCGGACGGGUGAGUAAUGUCUGGGAAACUGCCUGAUGGAGGGGGAUAACUACUGGAAACGGUAGCUAAUACCGCAUAACGUCGCAAGACCAAAGAGGGGGACCUUAGGGCCUCUUGCCAUCGGAUGUGCCCAGAUGGGAUUAGCUAGUAGGUGGGGUAACGGCUCACCUAGGCGACGAUCCCUAGCUGGUCUGAGAGGAUGACCAGCCACACUGGAACUGAGACACGGUCCAGACUCCUACGGGAGGCAGCAGUGGGGAAUAUUGCACAAUGGGCGCAAGCCUGAUGCAGCCAUGCCGCGUGUAUGAAGAAGGCCUUCGGGUUGUAAAGUACUUUCAGCGGGGAGGAAGGGAGUAAAGUUAAUACCUUUGCUCAUUGACGUUACCCGCAGAAGAAGCACCGGCUAACUCCGUG
This 490-nucleotide ribosomal RNA is filed under the name uncultured bacterium. Its description in RNAcentral is "partial 16S ribosomal RNA". It matches the Rfam family "Bacterial small subunit ribosomal RNA", at positions 30 to 507 of the family's 1533-position model. The record is from RNAcentral.